Callithrix jacchus (white-tufted-ear marmoset) is the source of this 299-nucleotide unclassified non-coding RNA. It matches the Rfam family "Metazoan signal recognition particle RNA". Rfam says of the family: The signal recognition particle (SRP) is a universally conserved ribonucleoprotein. It is involved in the co-translational targeting of proteins to membranes. NCBI's taxonomy places the organism in Eukaryota, Metazoa, Chordata, Mammalia, Primates, Cebidae. The record is from Ensembl.
GCUGGCACAGUGGUGCAUGCCUGUAGCCCCAGCUACUCGCGAGGCUGAGGUGGGAGGAUGGCUUGAGCCCAGGAGUUCUGAACUGUAGUGCGCUAUAUUGAUCGGGUAUCCGUACUAAGUUCGGCAUCAAUAUGGUGACCUCCCCGGAGUGGGGGACCACCAGGUUGCCUAAGGAGGGGUGAACCGGUGGAGGUCAGAAACGGAGCAGGUCAAAACUCCUGUGCUGAUCAGUAGUGGGAUUGCGCCUGUGAAUAGCCACUGUACUCCAGCCUGAGCAACAUAGUGAGACUCCGGCUCUA